AACAGGUAGCAAAAUCCGAACAGAUCUCGCAAUCUAAAAAGCUAAAACGCUCAGACAAGUAGAGAAUAACAAAACCUAAGCAGUCAGCACAACCGCGCCACCAGCGGCUUUGAUCUUCUUCUCCGCCGUCUUCGACACAAGCUUGGCCUUGACAACCACCGGAUGAGUCAGCGGCAGCAUCCCCUUCCCCAACACCUUGAAGUACCCAUGCUGACUCACAUCAAUCACCGGAGCAGAUCCACCCCCGGCCGCCGCCGCCUGCUCCUUCGCCGCCUCAGGGACGAGGCUCCAGAGGCGAUCGACGUUGACGAUCGGGCAGUGGAACUUGUUGCGGAGGCGGUGGAAGUAGCGCAUACCUACCUUGCCGAAGUAGCCCGGAUGGUACUUGUCGAAGAGGAUGCGGUGGUGGUGCAUGCCGCCGGCGUUACCGCGGCCGCCGGGAUGCUUGCGGUGCUUGCCGAUACGGCCGUGGCCGGCGCUGACGUGGCCGCGCUUCUUCCGG
This 502-nucleotide unclassified non-coding RNA is filed under the name Hevea brasiliensis (rubber tree). Lineage: Eukaryota; Viridiplantae; Streptophyta; Magnoliopsida; Malpighiales; Euphorbiaceae. The record is from RNAcentral.